This 291-nucleotide ribosomal RNA is filed under the name Triticum aestivum (bread wheat). RNAcentral describes it as "partial small subunit ribosomal RNA". Lineage: Eukaryota; Viridiplantae; Streptophyta; Magnoliopsida; Poales; Poaceae. The record is from RNAcentral.
AUGGACCAUUCCAUCACUUUUUCCCGUGCAUAUGCAUCGGACUCGGAUGACGAUGGUCCCGAUGAACAAGUUGAUGCGGAGGGGUUCACGGUGAAGGAGGCCGAAGCUUUCGAGAAGGUAUUUGGUCGGGAUCAUCGGACUACAUUGUUCAAGGAUGUUAGUCUCGUGGAUGAAGCUGUGGUAGAUGGUGGCCAAUGUGUACCUCUUGGGGUUAGGCCAAGAUCUCACCGUGAUUUGGUAGACGACAAAAACCGGAUUGCUAAAGGUUCUAAGUUUGACACCUUGUUGUAA